Molecule: ribosomal RNA, 108 nt
Filed under: Octodon degus (degu)
Lineage: Eukaryota; Metazoa; Chordata; Mammalia; Rodentia; Octodontidae
Source: RNAcentral
AUCAAUGGCCAUUCUACCCCACAUGCGCCCGAUCUCCUCUGAUCUCAGAAGGUAAGCAGGAUUGGGCCUGGUUGUACUUGGAUAGGACACAACAUGUUUCUGUAUGUA